Long non-coding RNA from Carassius auratus (goldfish), 3717 nucleotides. RefSeq lists it as uncharacterized. The transcript has 3 exons. The record is from RefSeq and is a predicted model, not a curated record. NCBI's taxonomy places the organism in Eukaryota, Metazoa, Chordata, Actinopteri, Cypriniformes, Cyprinidae.
UCUUAGUUGUGAAAUCUAUUUAGAUUUUCAUAAACUUAAGGUUAAAGAUCACCUUGAAUGCAGUGCAAGUUACCUUAGAUAAGUGAUGCAAAUGCAUAAAUGUAAAAUGUACAGAGACAUGCAUGUGGGCAUUUGUUCUAUAUAUGCAUAUAUGCAUGCAUAUUGUAUUUGUGUGCUCGCUUCAUGCGCACCAUCGAUUAUCUGCAUUUUAGCACAUCUGGCCUGUUAGCAUGCAUGUGGGUGUUCAUGCAUACACACAUAUAAGAACAGAGAAAGAGCGAACUCUAAUCUGUUCAAGCACCUCAACAGUUCAACUGUGCCCUUCAACAGUUGUCAUUUGCUUCUUCAAAUAUCUUUGUCAUUGAAGAGAGAUUAAAAAACGCCUCAGUUGAAUACGAACAAAGGCACAGCAGAGGAGCAACACAGUGCAAAUUGCCUGAUGAUGAGGUGGCUAAUCCCACUGCUAGUUUAAUUGAUACUUAAAGGCCUGCUAUCCGCUCUGAAGUGCUGAGAGGCUACAAACCGCCUUCGCCAAGGUGUGGUAACAGGGUGAGUAACUGCAAGCGAGUUCUCUGUCUGCUAAUGCUCUCUUGCCGUCCUCUGCAGUCUCAGCUCGCUCCUGUUUGCAGCAGUGCAUAAUAGAGCCAUUUUAAUCACUGUCUAUUGUUUUGGGCUUUCUUUUCGCACCCUGGUGAAACCUCAGACCUUGUUCGUCCGCAUUAUACCAGUUGUCUCAGACGGUGUCUUGUCACUCGCAGGGCAGCAUGAGUCCAGAGUGUUGUUGUGUGUUGACAGGCAGAGCUGGGCAGUGUUACCUGUGGAGGUUUGCAUGCACAAAUGAGCAGAAUGGUUUCAGAUGGUGAUGUGGUCGCUCUGGAAGCAUUGCAUGCGAUUCAAGGUGGACAAAAUGCAUCACACUUUUGGCAACAAAAUAAUCAUCACAACGUCCUCACGUUGCGUUCGGAAGUUGCAUCCAAUUUGACGACUGUGUGUAUGAAGCAUGCGGCGAAGGCUGUAUCUCCUGUUCUGUUUGGUUCCUGGCCCCAUAUGCCACUUUCCUAUUUCCUGGCUGUAGACAGCAGGGAGUAGCUCUAUUAUCACCUCCACUGAGCUGUCUUUGAAUGUGAGAGGCAAUUCCAUUUCACUUUGCCACGGGGAGGAGGAGGCAGGCGUACUACCCAGCUCAAAGAAAUUGGCUAAGGGUUCAUUUUUAUAGACGGAGUGCAAGGACAACGCUUUUCCUCUUGUGUUACUGAGAGUUUCAAAUGUACUACACUAAUGCUACGAUUGCUAUGGUGAAAAUUGCUCAAUAUGGGUUUUGACAGGUGCAUGGAUCAAAACUGUUUGUUUGCAUCAGAGAGGUGUCACUGCAUUUAAAUAUUGCACAUCCAGCCAUUUAUUCAUAUAGAUUGCUAUUGAUGCACGGCCAUUCUUUAAUUUUCUUUUCGGUUUGUUUGAACUAAAACAUGGUUUAUGCAAUUAUUUCAACUAGUUCCUUGAUUUUCUGCUUUGGAGGUUUUUAAAUGUACUGCAUUGAUUGCAUGUCACGAUUGCUAUUGUGAAAAUAGUUUAAUAUUGAGAGGUGCACAGAUCAAGACUGUUUGUUUCAUAGGUGACAUUGCACUCAAGUAUUACACACAGAGUCAUUUAUUUAUAUAUUUAUGUUUCUAGCAUUGCUAUCUUAUUGAUGCAUGGUUCAAUUUGGUUUGCUUGAUUCUUCUAUAAUUAGUUUGAAUCAAAACAUUCUUUAUUCAAGUAUUUAAACUAGUUAUGAUAUAUUGUACAAUCAUGGUAUCUAAGUAUUUUACAGGUGCACAAAUCAAGACUGUUUUCAUCAGAGAGGUGCCACUGCAUUCAAAUAUUGCACAUCUAUGUUUUUAGAAUUGCUAUGAUUGAUGCAAAACCAUUUCUAAUUUUCACUUUGGUGUGAUUGAUUAUUCCAUAAUCCAAAUACAUGCUUUAUGCAAGUAUUUGAAGUAGUUUUGCAGUCUUGAUUUUGUGCAUUGCUAUAUGUCAGAAACAUGUAAAACUGCACUUGAAGGACACGUUGCACUCUUGCCAUUGCCACAUGAUGCGCUAUGGUUUCUAUCAGCACAAAUAGUUUUCUUCUACAGUCAGUUUUCUUAGUUAGUAUAGUAAGUUCAAUUAUAACACAGAAAUGUCCUAUUAUGCAUUUGAUUGCUGCUGCUUCGUGCAACCACAGUAAUGUGAAAAUGCACAUAAAAGUUGAACCACAAAAUUGCGUGGUUGUAAUGCAUUGAGUAAACUUUUGUGUCUAAGUUUGCAUGCAUAAAGUAUUGCAUGUAUGCAUGAAGAUUCUUUCAAUUUUUUCUUGCUUUUUUUGUGAUGCAACAAUGCUAUUCUACAUAAGCAUGCAUGAUGCACUGAACAGCAAGUCUGCAGAGACUAUGAAUGCAAAAUCUUUGCCAGCCAUUAAUUGUUUGGUGCAUUACUGUUUUAUCUUAUGUGCAGUUCUGACAACCAGUCAAAGUUUGCAGCACUCAGGACAGCUAGAACUGAACACCUAUAUAUUCUAGGAUCGGUGUAUUACUGGGGAAACUCAGCACAACACAGAGACUAGAAAGGUCUUUCUAUCGUUUAGGGUCUGGGCAAGUAUGUUGAAAUCCUCCGAGGAGGCUGAUGAAAAAUGCAGCUGCUUUGAGCCAUCACAUGUCUUAAGCUAAAAUUGAUGUUUUAUAAAUAAUUUCGACCCCACAAACAUCAAAGGCCACAAUCACAGCGACUCAGUGAUAUUCAUUUGGCAUAAGUCAGUUUCAUUUUUCCGAGCUUUUCAUCAGAAAUGGCUUAAAAAGUAGACCUGCUCUGAAUCUUUCAUGACUUGGGGCUUGCAGGGGACAGCGGCUGAUGUUCUUCACUUGUAGACGUCUGACAGCACGUGGCAGCGUCAACAACAAAAUGGUCACAAACCCCCGUUGCACUUCCUGGGUCAUACGGCCUGAUAAAUAUUUCAAGAGACUAGCGACACACUGAGCGGCUGAUAACAGGUCAGUUGCAGGUGAUAAAAGUCAGUUUUAGUUGGGACAUUAGGCCUUUUCUUCAGUGUGUGAUAUCAUUUAGCCUUGUAUUACACAUCAGUGAUUUAGCUUCGCAUGCCCUGUACAGUAGGUUGACUGACAGUGCGAGAGAUGUGAGAAAUAAAUGUAACUGUGCAUCUUAACAGCUAUGAUGAUUAUCAAACCGCUGAUCUGGCAAACAGCAGGCACGCUUGAGUUUUAUACUACAUCAUGCUAAACUGGUAAAGUACGUCACUGUAAAAAUGAAACGAACACCUAUAGCGUUUUUAAAAUGUCACAGGAGCUCCGAAAACCUAGAAAGCCAAAUUUAUUUCAGUAGUUUGACAUGUUGCUGAGCCAACGCUCUAAUAAACAUUACAGUCUAAGAAAAGGCUGUAAAAAUAGGGCUGUAAUAGAGUUUCUGUAUUGGUUUUUCACAGGUGUUUUAAUCAUAUUUUGAAAUAUGCAUUGCAUUGUGUUUUGUUUUAGAGCUUUAAAGGAAAUGCACAGAUAAUGUCCUGGACGAAAAUGACCAAUGCUUUAAACAAUAUUUCUACUUUUUUUUUUCUUGUAGUUUAAAAUACGUAUCACCCAAGUUGAGUAAAAUUCUAAAAAAAUAUAGAGCAUUCAAUAGUAUAUUUUGAACUGAAUUUUUAGACACCGUGUAAAAAAAAACCUGUGUUUGCAUGAUGUUAAUAUAACA